RNAcentral lists this long non-coding RNA (544 nucleotides) under Pogona vitticeps (central bearded dragon). RNAcentral's name for it is "lncRNA (ENSPVIG00000018845.1)". The record is from RNAcentral. Lineage: Eukaryota; Metazoa; Chordata; Lepidosauria; Squamata; Agamidae.
AGGAAUGGAGCCAUUUGGUAGCUGUGCUGUGUUCUCAUUCCUGAGAAUACAGUAUUCAAAUAUGCUUCUUCGUUGUAGUUUUUUUUGGGGGGAGGUUGCUUCUGUUGGGGGUCAAGAAUCUCCUUAGCUACAUCUCAAAUGUCAUGGGAUGGAAAUCACCGGUGGCUUUUCUCCAUGAUGCUUCCUUUACUGAAAAUGGCAGCCAGGCUACAAUCUCCAACAAGAAAGCAGAAGAGGACCAUCUGGAGAAGAGGAAACAUGAAGUCACUUGAGAUACCACUUGUAUAAAUAAUAUUUAUUUCUCUGAAAUGGGAAAGACAUCCUAGAAAGAAGCUGAGUGAAAAUAUUCAUCUAACAAGACCCUUGGAACUACAAGUGCAUAAUUUUUGGAAAGGAGGCUUUUUGUCCUGUGGCUCCAAGCUUAGGAGGUUAGUGUUAAAAAUGGAAGCGUUCCAGAUGCAGAGUUUAACAUUUUUGCUAUACCAUCUAAGUCAGUUCAUCAGAGAUCACCUCCCCAUAAACAGAUCUUGAUGAUUACAGAAUC